Molecule: ribosomal RNA, 626 nt
Filed under: Carnobacterium sp. AT-BI-18
Lineage: Bacteria; Bacillati; Bacillota; Bacilli; Lactobacillales; Carnobacteriaceae
Description: bacterial SSU rRNA
Rfam family: Bacterial small subunit ribosomal RNA
Source: RNAcentral
UGGCGGACGGGUGAGUAACACGUGGGUAACCUGCCCAUUAGAGGGGGAUAACAUUCGGAAACGGAUGCUAAUACCGCAUAGUUUCAGGAAUCGCAUGAUUCUUGAAGGAAAGGUGGCUUCGGCUACCACUAAUGGAUGGACCCGCGGCGUAUUAGCUAGUUGGUGAGGUAAUGGCUCACCAAGGCAAUGAUACGUAGCCGACCUGAGAGGGUGAUCGGCCACACUGGGACUGAGACACGGCCCAGACUCCUACGGGAGGCAGCAGUAGGGAAUCUUCCGCAAUGGACGAAAGUCUGACGGAGCAACGCCGCGUGAGUGAAGAAGGUUUUCGGAUCGUAAAACUCUGUUGUUAAAGAAGAACAAGGAUGAGAGUAACUGCUCAUCCCCUGACGGUAUUUAACCAGAAAGCCACGGCUAACUACNUGCCAGCAGCCGCGGUAAACGUAGGUGGCAAGCGUUGUCCGGAUUUAUUGGGCGUAAGCGAGCGCAGGCGGUUCUUUAAGUCUGAUGUGAAAGCCCCCGGCUCAACCGGGGAGGGUCAUUGGAAACUGGAGAACUUGAGUGCAGAAGAGGAGAGUGGAAUUCCACGUGUAGCGGUGAAAUGCGUAGAUAUGUGGAGGAACACC